RNAcentral lists this ribosomal RNA (92 nucleotides) under Siganus doliatus (barred spinefoot). RNAcentral describes it as "partial 5.8S rRNA". It matches the Rfam family "5.8S ribosomal RNA", at positions 1 to 92 of the family's 154-position model. Rfam says of the family: 5.8S ribosomal RNA (5.8S rRNA) is a component of the large subunit of the eukaryotic ribosome. It is transcribed by RNA polymerase I as part of the 45S precursor that also contains 18S and 28S rRNA. Lineage: Eukaryota; Metazoa; Chordata; Actinopteri; Siganidae. The record is from RNAcentral. RNAcentral also lists the same sequence under 1 other name.
CAACUCUUAGCGGUGGAUCACUUGGCUCGUGCGUCGAUGAGGAACGCAGCUAGCUGCGAGAAUUAAUGUGAAUUGCAGGACACAUUGAUCAU